UCCUCGUUAGUAUAGAGGACAGUAUCUCCGCCUGUCACGCGGAAGACCGGGGUUCGAUUCCCCGACAAGGAG
Molecule: transfer RNA, 72 nt
Filed under: Danionella translucida
Lineage: Eukaryota; Metazoa; Chordata; Actinopteri; Cypriniformes; Danionidae
Also listed under: 1 other name
Rfam family: tRNA
About the family: Transfer RNA (tRNA) molecules are approximately 80 nucleotides in length. Their secondary structure includes four short double-helical elements and three loops (D, anti-codon, and T loops).
Source: Rfam by way of RNAcentral